This 600-nucleotide ribosomal RNA is filed under the name uncultured bacterium. RNAcentral's name for it is "bacterial SSU rRNA". It matches the Rfam family "Bacterial small subunit ribosomal RNA", at positions 101 to 700 of the family's 1533-position model. The record is from RNAcentral.
UACGGGUGCGGAACACGUGUGCAACCUGCCUUUAUCUGGGGGAUAGCCUUUCGAAAGGAAGAUUAAUACCCCAUAAUAUGUUGAAUGGCAUCAUUCGACAUUGAAAACUCCGGUGGAUAGAGAUGGGCACGCGCAAGAUUAGAUAGUUGGUGAGGUAACGGCUCACCAAGUCUACGAUCUUUAGGGGGCCUGAGAGGGUGAUCCCCCACACUGGUACUGAGACACGGACCAGACUCCUACGGGAGGCAGCAGUGAGGAAUAUUGGACAAUGGGUGAGAGCCUGAUCCAGCCAUCCCGCGUGAAGGACGACUGCCCUAUGGGUUGUAAACUUCUUUUGUAUAGGGAUAAACCUACCCUCGUGAGGGUAGCUGAAGGUACUAUACGAAUAAGCACCGGCUAACUCCGUGCCAGCAGCCGCGGUAAUACGGAGGGUGCAAGCGUUAUCCGGAUUUAUUGGGUUUAAAGGGUCCGUAGGCGGAUCUGUAAGUCAGUGGUGAAAUCUCACAGCUUAACUGUGAAACUGCCAUUGAUACUGCAGGUCUUGAGUGUUGUUGAAGUAGCUGGAAUAAGUAGUGUAGCGGUGAAAUGCAUAGAUAUUAC